GCAAGUGGAGGAAAGCGAAAGAGAGAAAAAGAAGGGAGGGGAAGAGAGAAAGAAGGAAGGGCGAGGGACAGGCCCGAGCCUGUCAGUGGCCUGAGGGGAACAAUUGGCCACGGCGGCGGCAGCAGCAAGGAAGGGCCCAGUCAGCCACUGCUGCUGUUUGGGGCUACCAAGACUAUUUGGAAGGAGGCAGGAAAACAAGGGAUGGCCCCAGGCUGUCAGCACCCUGAGGAGAACGAGCGGCCAUGGUGGUGGCUGCAGCAAGGAAGGGCCUGGUCAACUGCUGCUGUUCUUGUAGGGAGGAGCAGGAGCGGGGCUCAGGAGCUUCAAUCUGCAAGUUGUCUUGGGAGAUCCAGUCUAGCCGCACCCACAACAUGCUUCCAAAAAUACUAGUUCAUCCAAUAUAGAAACAAAUGCCGGAAGUGCAUUACUUAACUUUAUGUCAGAAUACGGUGAAAUCAAGUGAUUCUCCUCCAUGAACUUCUAUGCAUUCGCAAGACAGCAAACAUCAUCAUCCCUAUACUGUGGUCCAUUAUAAAGGCUCAUCCAUGACACAGAUAUGCUGACAAUUCACAAACUCAGCUACAAAAUUACUAUAUUCUCAAAGCAAGAAAAAUAAAUUCUGCUAGUUGCAUUUUAUGGUGGAAGCAAUUUACUGAAGAAAAACCCUCUAAAGCCAAAUAACGUCAAUGAAAUUUUUUUAUAAUUCAAACUCUUUUUCAAACAAGCAUUUAAUUUUCUGAAGCUAGUAGCUUGUUUAGCUGGCAUCCAUAACAUUAUUUUUUUCCAAAAAAUGCAGAUCAGAAUGUAAGGUUAAGAGGUAAAAAGAUAACUGCAAUAUAGUACCAACCUAUAGUUACUUUUACAGCCACUCCUAUGUAGGGAAGAAAAUGUUAUAAACUAUGAGCCAUUUAUGCCAAAACAUGACUAAUAAGCCAUAUAAACCUUCUUUCAAUAAAUUGCCUGUUUACCUUU
Hemicordylus capensis (graceful crag lizard) is the source of this 972-nucleotide long non-coding RNA. RefSeq lists it as uncharacterized. The transcript has 2 exons. NCBI's taxonomy places the organism in Eukaryota, Metazoa, Chordata, Lepidosauria, Squamata, Cordylidae. The record is from RefSeq and is a predicted model, not a curated record.